RNAcentral lists this ribosomal RNA (1371 nucleotides) under uncultured bacterium. RNAcentral's name for it is "16S ribosomal RNA". It matches the Rfam family "Bacterial small subunit ribosomal RNA". The record is from RNAcentral.
AGAGUUUGAUCAUGGCUCAGAACGUACGCUGGCGGCACGCCUAAUACAUGCAAGUCGAACGGGGUAGCAAUACCUAGUGGCAGACGGGUGAGUAACAUGUGGGUAUCUUCCCUUUGGUGAGGAAUAACACGAGGAAACUUGUGCUAAUACCUCAUAAGUCUUUACAGAGAAAGCUUUAUGCACCAUUGGAUGAGCCCGCACUUGAUUAGUUUGUUGGUGGGGUAAUGGCCUACCAAGACUGUGAUCAAUAGCUGAUUUGAGAGGAUGAUCAGCCACAUUGGGACUGAGACACGGCCCAAACUCCUACGGGAGGCAGCAGUGGGGAAUCUUGCACAAUGGAGGAAACUCUGAUGCAGCGAUGCCGCGUGAGUGAAGAAGGCCUUUGGGUUGUAAAGCUCUUUCGUCGGGGAAGAAAAUGACUGUACCCGAAUAAGAAGGUCCGGCUAACUUCGUGCCAGCAGCCGCGGUAAUACGAAGGGACCUAGCGUAGUUCGGAAUUACUGGGCUUAAAGAGUUCGUAGGUGGUUGAAAAAGUUGGUGGUGAAAUCCCAGAGCUUAACUCUGGAACUGCCAUCAAAACUUUUCAGCUAGAGUUUGAUAGAGGAAAGCAGAAUUUCUAGUGUAGAGGUGAAAUUCGUAGAUAUUAGAAAGAAUACCAAUUGCGAAGGCAGCUUUCUGGAUCAUUACUGACACUGAGGAACGAAAGCAUGGGUAGCGAAGAGGAUUAGAUACCCUCGUAGUCCAUGCCGUAAACGAUGUGUGUUAGACGUUGGAAAUUUAUUUUCAGUGUCGCAGCGAAAGCGAUAAACACACCGCCUGGGGAGUACGACCGCAAGGUUAAAACUCAAAUGAAUUGACGGGGACCCGCACAAGUAGUGGAGCAUGUGGUUUAAUUCGAAGAUACGCGCAGAACCUUACCAACACUUGACAUGUUCGUCGCGACUUUAAGAGAUUAAAGUUUUCGGUUCGGCCGGACGAAACACAGGUGCUGCAUGGCUGUCGUCAGCUCGUGUCGUGAGAUGUUGGGUUAAGUCCCGCAACGAGCGCAACCCUCACUUUUAGUUGCCAUCAUUUAGUUGGGCACUCUGAAAGAACUGCCAGUGAUAAGCUGGAGGAAGGUGGGGAUGACGUCAAGUCCUCAUGGCCCUUACGUGUUGGGCUACACACGUGCUACAAUGGUAUCUACAACAGGAAGCGAAACAGCGAUGUUGAGCAAAUCCUUAAAAGAUACCUCAGUUCGGAUUGCACUCUGCAACUCGAGUGCAUGAAGCUGGAAUUACUAGUAAUCGUGGAUCAGCGUGCCACGGUGAAUGCGUUCCCGGGUCUUGUACACACCGCCCGUCACACCAUGGGAGUUGGUUCUACCUUAAG